GGGAGCAUAGCUCAGUUGGCUAGAGCACCUGCCUUACAAGCAGGGGGUCAUAGGUUCGAGCCCUAUUGUUCCCACCA
This 77-nucleotide transfer RNA is filed under the name Clostridia bacterium. Its description in RNAcentral is "tRNA-Val". It matches the Rfam family "tRNA". From Rfam's summary of the family: Transfer RNA (tRNA) molecules are approximately 80 nucleotides in length. Their secondary structure includes four short double-helical elements and three loops (D, anti-codon, and T loops). Further hydrogen bonds mediate the characteristic L-shaped molecular structure. tRNAs have two regions of fundamental functional importance: the anti-codon, which is responsible for specific mRNA codon recognition, and the 3' end, to which the tRNAs corresponding amino acid is attached (by aminoacyl-tRNA synthetases). tRNAs cope with the degeneracy of the genetic code in two manners: having more than one tRNA (with a specific anti-codon) for a particular amino acid; and 'wobble' base-pairing, i.e. permitting non-standard base-pairing at the 3rd anti-codon position. RNAcentral also lists the same sequence under 1 other name. Lineage: Bacteria; Bacillati; Bacillota; Clostridia. The record is from RNAcentral.